GACGAACGCUGGCGGCGUGCUUAACACAUGCAAGUCGAACGGUAAGGCCCUUCGGGGUACACGAGUGGCGAACGGGUGAGUAACACGUGGGUGAUCUGCCCUGCACUUUGGGAUAAGCCUGGGAAACUGGGUCUAAUACCGGAUAGGACCAUGGCAUGCAUGUGCUGUGGUGGAAAGCUUUUGCGGUGUGGGAUGGGCCCGCGGCCUAUCAGCUUGUUGGUGGGGUGAUGGCCUACCAAGGCGACGACGGGUAGCCGGCCUGAGAGGGUGUCCGGCCACACUGGGACUGAGAUACGGCCCAGACUCCUACGGGAGGCAGCAGUGGGGAAUAUUGCACAAUGGGCGCAAGCCUGAUGCAGCGACGCCGCGUGGGGGAUGACGGCCUUCGGGUUGUAAACCUCUUUCAAUAGGGACGAAGCGCAAGUGACGGUACCUAUAGAAGAAGCGCCGGCCAACUACGUGCCAGCCGCCGCUGUAA
Molecule: ribosomal RNA, 478 nt
Filed under: uncultured bacterium
Lineage: Bacteria
Description: partial 16S ribosomal RNA
Rfam family: Bacterial small subunit ribosomal RNA
Source: RNAcentral